AUUGAACGCUGGCGGCAUGCUUUACACAUGCAAGUCGAACGGUAACAGGCCUUCGGGUGCUGACGAGUGGCGAACGGGUGCGUAAUUCUUAGGAACGUGUCCAGUGGCGGGGGGUCACGGAGCGAAAGCUGUGCUCAUACCUCAUGCGAUCUGAUGUUGAAAGCGGGGUGCCAAGCUGCAAUGUUUGGCCUUUGCUCUCUGGUACAGCCGAUGUCAGAUUAGGUAGUUGGUGGGGUAAAGGCCUACCAAGCCGACGAUCUGUAGCUGAUCUGAGAGGACGACCGGCCACACUGGAACUGAGACACGGCCCAGACUCCUACGGGAGGCAGCAGUGGGGAAUUUUCGGCAAUGGGCGAAAGCCUGAUCCAGCAAUGCCGCGUGCGUGAAGAAGGCCUUCGGGCUGUAAACCGCUUUUGUACGGAACGAAAAGACGCUGGCUAAUACCUGGAGCUGAUGACGGUACCGUAAGAGUAAGCACCGGCUAACUACGUG
This 492-nucleotide ribosomal RNA is filed under the name uncultured bacterium. RNAcentral's name for it is "partial 16S ribosomal RNA". It matches the Rfam family "Bacterial small subunit ribosomal RNA", at positions 30 to 507 of the family's 1533-position model. The record is from RNAcentral.